AUGCCUAUGUCAGAUCUUUCCAUAGUAGACACUCAAGAGAGUAUUCAAUCAAAAUAAGUGAUUGAUCCUGAUAAUGGGAUCUUACCUUGGUAUUUAUAGGCUGUCGUGGAGAGUCCUGCUAGGUGUGGGGUCCUUAAGGACAAGGGCUCUCUGAUAUCAGAAAUAUUCCAGAUCCUAGGGCAUAUUCUAGGAAUAUUUCCCUCUUAUCUCGGAGGUGCAAGUCGUGAGAGGGGUGGAUGCCUCUAAUGACGUUCAGUGGAUAGAGUCCUACCCUUGUGAUCAGGGUUACGUUCCUUGAAUGUAGGAGUGGAUGUGUGUACGUUUUUGGGCAUCUAGCUUGGUGUGCCCGGGCAGAGGUGACAAUACCGAGGUGGCAGCUCGGCAUAAUGAGGGACCGAGGUGGUAGCUCGGCAUGACGAGGGACCCAUGUGGUAACUCGGCAUGACGAGGGACUGAGGUGGCUGCCCGGCAUGGAUUGGGACCUAAGUGGCUGCUCGGCAUGAUUGGGAUCAAGUUGGCAGCUCGGCAUGAUAUGGGAUCGAGGUGGCUGUUCGGCCUGGAUAGAGACCGAGGCGGCAGGUCGGCCUACAUAGCUUCAGAUGUGUUGAGGUGAGGACAUAUUUGACCUCAUCACCAACCAAAACUGAUAUAUCCUUAUUGAUUCAUGUUUGAUUUCACUCAUUCUCCCAUAUAAACCAAUGAAAUCGAACCAAAAUCGGUCCAAAAUUGACACCGCUUAGAGAAGCAAUGUGUCAUCGAUCAUGUGCGACUAAUGUCUUUUAGUACAACUCGCUAUAUUUCAUUUUGGUGGAUGAAAUUUUUUCAAUCAUAUGCAUGCCUCUUUAGGCGGGAAUGGAUUUUGUAAAUGCCUCUAUAGGUGGGAACGGAGAAAUUUCCAAUCCCUCGAUAGAGUAUAGACGAAGAAAAAAAUGGGAGAGAAUAGAAAGAGUGGGGGGAGAGUGAGUGCAUAGGAGCAGGGAAAGAGAGGGGGCCUGGGAGGCAGAAAAGGUUUACAGAAACAGGGAGAGUGAGUGGGAGCAGAGAAGGAGCGAGGCAAAGAGACGAAGGGUGAAACUAGUCAAUGGGAGACUAUAACAUUUAGCUCUCAAAAUGCAUCAAAUAAUGAUUGGAUUGCAGUUUUUUCUCCAGCAAGUACUGUAAAGUAAGAAAUACAUGAUACAUCUUCAGUAUUGAAUCUAGCUUUCCUUAAUUAGAAAUGUUGAUACA
This is a long non-coding RNA of Macadamia integrifolia, 1227 nucleotides long. RefSeq lists it as uncharacterized. The record is from RefSeq and is a predicted model, not a curated record. Lineage: Eukaryota; Viridiplantae; Streptophyta; Magnoliopsida; Proteales; Proteaceae. The transcript has 2 exons.